GUGGAAAUGCUGGGUUCAGGUGAAUUGAAUGACCUCAUAUGGGAUUUGAUCCAUUCAUACAAACCAGACCUUCUGAAGGAUUCUGUUAUGCAGUAUAAAACAGCCUUGCCAGCCAGACCUGAUAUCCCCAAAAAGGAAAUUACAGAACUGAACACAAAGUGGGAGAUGCCAUCCCUAUAUAUAACACACUGAUGAAAUUGCCAGCCAGUCCACCAAGAGACCUUGUGUAUAUCUACAUUGCCAAGGCUGUAGAACUUAAUCAAGCUAAGAGUUUCCAAAGUGCUUUGGACCUUCUAGAGAAGCAAACAGCCAUGCAACAAAACUGCAAGGGAGGGAAACACCUCGACUGUGCAAGUUGCUUAUGUGGAUGAUUCUCUUGACCAAAAUACAACAUUGUUUACAUGAACUCCCAUGUGUGAACAACUCCAUCAUGGCAGAACUUACCAAUGAGGCAAGGCAGUGUCUGGGGGUCACACUGGUCGUGAUGGUAUUGCACCCUGGACUGGG
This is a long non-coding RNA of Penaeus monodon (black tiger shrimp), 507 nucleotides long. RefSeq lists it as uncharacterized. Lineage: Eukaryota; Metazoa; Arthropoda; Malacostraca; Decapoda; Penaeidae. The record is from RefSeq and is a predicted model, not a curated record. The transcript has 5 exons.